GCUCGAGUGGCGAACGGGUGAGUAACACGUGAGUAACCUGCCCUUGACUUUGGGAUAACUUCAGGAAACUGGGGCUAAUACCGGAUAGGAGCUCCUGCUGCAUGGUGGGGGUUGGGAAGUUUCGGCGGUUGGGGAUGGACUCGCGGCUUAUCAGCUUGUUGGUGGGGUAGUGGCUUACCAAGGCUUUGACGGGUAGCCGGCCUGAGAGGGUGACCGGCCACAUUGGGACUGAGAUACGGCCCAG
This 244-nucleotide ribosomal RNA is filed under the name uncultured Actinomycetales bacterium. Its description in RNAcentral is "partial 16S ribosomal RNA". It matches the Rfam family "Bacterial small subunit ribosomal RNA", at positions 89 to 334 of the family's 1533-position model. Lineage: Bacteria; Bacillati; Actinomycetota; Actinomycetes; Actinomycetales. The record is from RNAcentral.